RNAcentral lists this ribosomal RNA (168 nucleotides) under Ficus conocephalifolia. RNAcentral's name for it is "5.8S ribosomal RNA". It matches the Rfam family "5.8S ribosomal RNA". From Rfam's summary of the family: 5.8S ribosomal RNA (5.8S rRNA) is a component of the large subunit of the eukaryotic ribosome. It is transcribed by RNA polymerase I as part of the 45S precursor that also contains 18S and 28S rRNA. Lineage: Eukaryota; Viridiplantae; Streptophyta; Magnoliopsida; Rosales; Moraceae. The record is from RNAcentral.
GAAGAACGAUCUCGGCAACGGAUAUUUCGGUUUUGCAUCGAUGAAGAACGUAGCGAAAUGCGAUACUUGGUGUGAAUUGCAGAAUCCCGUGAACCAUCGAGUCUUUGAACGCAAGUUGCGCCCGAAGCCCCAUCAGGUCGAGGGCACGUCUGCCUGGGCGUCACACGC